UGGCGGACAGGUGAGUAACGCGUGGAUAACCUGCCGUAUACAGGGGGAUAACACUUAGAAAUAGGUGCUAAUACCGCAUAAGCGCACGGUUCCGCAUGGAACAGUGUGAAAAACUCCGGUGGUAUACGAUGGAUCCGCGUCUGAUUAGCCAGUUGGCGGGGUAACGGCCCACCAAAGCGACGAUCAGUAGCCGGCCUGAGAGGGUGAACGGCCACAUUGGGACUGAGACACGGCCCAAACUCCUACGGAAGGCAGCAG
Molecule: ribosomal RNA, 258 nt
Filed under: uncultured bacterium
Lineage: Bacteria
Description: partial 16S ribosomal RNA
Rfam family: Bacterial small subunit ribosomal RNA
Source: RNAcentral